CUACGGGAUGCUCCAGUGGGGAAUAUUGCACAAUGGGCGCAAGCCUGAUGCAGCCAUGCCGCGUGUAUGAAGAAGGCCUUCGGGUUGUAAAGUACUUUCAGCGGGGAGGAAGGGAGUAAAGUUAAUACCUUUGCUCAUUGACGUUACCCGCAGAAGAAGCACCGGCUAACUCCGUGCCAGCAGCCGCGGUAAUACGGAGGGUGCAAGCGUUAAUCGGAAUUACUGGGCGUAAAGCGCACGCAGGCGGUUUGUUAAGCCAGAUGUGAAAUCCCCGGGCUCAACCUGGGAACUGCAUCUGAUACUGGCAAGCUUGAGUCUCGUAGGGGGGGGUAGAAUUCCAGGUGUAGCGGUGAAAUGCGUAGAGAUCUGGAGGAAUACCGGUGGCGAAGGCGGCCCCCUGGACGAAGACUGACGCUCAGGUGCGAAAGCGUGGGGAGCAAACAGGAUUAGAUACCCGAGUAGUC
RNAcentral lists this ribosomal RNA (464 nucleotides) under uncultured bacterium. RNAcentral describes it as "partial 16S ribosomal RNA". It matches the Rfam family "Bacterial small subunit ribosomal RNA", at positions 339 to 795 of the family's 1533-position model. The record is from RNAcentral.